CCCAGGUACUGAGUAUAAUAUCCAAGAGUUAGCUUUUCAGCCCUUUCCCUCACUCUCCCUCCCCCUCUCAUAUUCCCCAGUUUCUAUUGUUGCCAUAUUUGUGUCCUGAGUACCCAGUGUUCAGCUCCCACUUAUAAGUGAGAACAUGCAGUAUUUGGUUUUAUGUUCCUGCAUUAGUUUGCUCAGGUGGCUUCCAGCUCCAACCACAUUCCUAUAAAAAACAUGACCUUGUUCUUUUAUUGGCUGCAUAGUAUUCCAUGGUAUAUAUGUACCAUGUUUUCUCUAU
Molecule: long non-coding RNA, 286 nt
Organism: Sapajus apella (tufted capuchin)
Lineage: Eukaryota; Metazoa; Chordata; Mammalia; Primates; Cebidae
Exons: 2
Source: RefSeq, a predicted model, not a curated record